RNAcentral lists this ribosomal RNA (648 nucleotides) under Bacillus sp. As3-30. Its description in RNAcentral is "bacterial SSU rRNA". It matches the Rfam family "Bacterial small subunit ribosomal RNA", at positions 55 to 688 of the family's 1533-position model. Lineage: Bacteria; Bacillati; Bacillota; Bacilli; Caryophanales; Bacillaceae. The record is from RNAcentral.
AUGCAGUCGAGCGAUUGAUGGGAGCUUGCUCCCUGAUAUUAGCGGCGGACGGGUGAGUAACACGUGGGUAACCUGCCUGUAAGAUUGGGAUAACUCCGGGAAACCGGAGCUAAUACCGGAUAACAUUUUGAACCGCAUGGUUCGAAAUUGAAAGAUGGUUUCGGCUAUCACUUACAGAUGGACCCGCGGCGCAUUAGCUAGUUGGUGAGGUAACGGCUCACCAAGGCAACGAUGCGUAGCCGACCUGAGAGGGUGAUCGGCCACACUGGGACUGAGACACGGCCCAGACUCCUACGGGAGGCAGCAGUAGGGAAUCUUCCGCAAUGGACGAAAGUCUGACGGAGCAACGCCGCGUGAACGAUGAAGGCCUUCGGGUCGUAAAGUUCUGUUGUUAGGGAAGAACAAGUACCAGAGUAACUGCUGGUACCUUGACGGUACCUAACCAGAAAGCCACGGCUAACUACGUGCCAGCAGCCGCGGUAAUACGUAGGUGGCAAGCGUUGUCCGGAAUUAUUGGGCGUAAAGCGCGCGCAGGUGGUUUCUUAAGUCUGAUGUGAAAGCCCACGGCUCAACCGUGGAGGGUCAUUGGAAACUGGGGAACUUGAGUGCAGAAGAGGAAAGUGGAAUUCCAAGUGUAGCGGUGAAAUG